CUGGCCCAGGACUCAGGAGGCUUGGCUUUUAUUCUACAUUGGUGGGAGAUGUCCUGAUUCUAUGAUUUAGUUUUUCAUGUUAGAAAGAGCUGCCUGGGAGCCUGGCCAUGAAGCCAUGUCAGACAAGUUGCUAGGUGAGAUAUUUUUAAAGGAAGUCGUGCAGAUAGAAUAUCAUGAUUAAGUGAACCUGAAAAAUCAUAUAAUCACCCCUCAUCACCACCAACCUAAGCUUGUCUUUAUUUAGCACACUGAGCUCUGAGAAGCACAGAAUCAAUUAUAAUUCCAUAAACUCAGAAGUAAAAGUAUUUUGAGGUCUUUUGCUUACUAUUGAUAUA
Molecule: long non-coding RNA, 335 nt
Filed under: Chinchilla lanigera (long-tailed chinchilla)
Lineage: Eukaryota; Metazoa; Chordata; Mammalia; Rodentia; Chinchillidae
Description: lncRNA (ENSCLAG00000027527.1)
Source: RNAcentral